AUCUCUUCCUCUGGGCAUGUUUACAGUGUUAGUCCAGGAACUAUUACAGCCAACUUGAAGCAGAGACAUGGAAAGAGAAUAGAGAAAAUCAAAGAGAAAUGAACCAGGACUUUGAUCCAGUCAUCUGUGAUCACUGCUUAGAGAGCUGUGAGAUGUGGCUGUGGUGUCUUCUUCAAAUUACCAAUGAGGGGUGGAUCCACGGAGUGUCUCUGGAAGUGGAAGUCCUCACAUCUCAUUACCAAACCUCUGAAGCACGAAAUCUCCCUGCAUUCACAGGGUCUGGACUUGAUUUUGCCUGACAGGCAGAAUCAGCAGCAUGUGUGUGACCUUCACUGCAUUGUUGAAUGAUUGCCCAUCAGAAAACACAAAGAGUAAAGGACUUCUGGGC
Molecule: long non-coding RNA, 388 nt
Organism: Hyaena hyaena (striped hyena)
Lineage: Eukaryota; Metazoa; Chordata; Mammalia; Carnivora; Hyaenidae
Exons: 3
Source: RefSeq, a predicted model, not a curated record